AGCGAGGCUGUGAAGCGGAGCAAAUCUCAAAAACCGGUCCCAGUUCGGAUUGUAGGCUGCAACUCGCCUACAUGAAGUCGGAGUUGCUAGUAAUCGCGGAUCAGAAUGCCGCGGUGAAUGCGUUCCCGGGUCUUGUACACACCGCCCGUCACACCAUGGAAGUUGGGGCGCCCGAAGUUGCCUAAGAAAUAAGGUACCUAAGGCGAAACCAAUGACUGGGGUGAAGUCGUAACAAGGUAAC
RNAcentral lists this ribosomal RNA (241 nucleotides) under uncultured bacterium. Its description in RNAcentral is "partial 16S ribosomal RNA". It matches the Rfam family "Bacterial small subunit ribosomal RNA", at positions 1248 to 1500 of the family's 1533-position model. The record is from RNAcentral.